CAGCAGCCGCGGGAAUACGUAGGGUGCGAGCGUUAAUCGGAAUUACUGGGCGUAAAGCGUGCGCAGGCGGUGCUGCAAGACCGAUGUGAAAGCCCCGGGCUUAACCUGGGAACUGCAUUGGUGACUGCAGCGCUGGAGUAUGGCAGAGGGGGGUGGAAUUCCACGUGUAGCAGUGAAAUGCGUAGAAAUGUGGAGGAACACCGAUGGCGAAGGCAGCCCCCUGGGCCAAUACUGACGCUCAUGCACGAAAGCGUGGGGAGCAAACAGGAUUAGAUACCCCCGUAGUCCCUGUCUCUUAUAC
This 301-nucleotide ribosomal RNA is filed under the name uncultured bacterium. Its description in RNAcentral is "partial 16S ribosomal RNA". It matches the Rfam family "Bacterial small subunit ribosomal RNA", at positions 509 to 807 of the family's 1533-position model. The record is from RNAcentral.